UACAGAGGGUGCAAGCGUUGCUCGGAAUUAUUGGGCGUAAAGGGUGUGUAGGCGGACUUUUAAGUCCGUGGUGAAAUCUCCGGGCUCAACCCGGAAACUGCCAUGGAUACUAUAGGUCUUGAAUGUUGUUGAGGUGGGCGGAACGGGUCAUGUAGCGGUGAAAUGCAUAGAUAUGACCCGGAACACCGAUUGCGAAGGCAGCCCACUAAGCAACGAUUGACGCUGAGGCACGAAAGCGUGGGGAUCAAACAGG
Molecule: ribosomal RNA, 253 nt
Filed under: uncultured bacterium
Lineage: Bacteria
Description: partial 16S ribosomal RNA
Rfam family: Bacterial small subunit ribosomal RNA
Source: RNAcentral